Molecule: long non-coding RNA, 295 nt
Filed under: Brachypodium distachyon (stiff brome)
Lineage: Eukaryota; Viridiplantae; Streptophyta; Magnoliopsida; Poales; Poaceae
Description: long non-coding RNA (BDIS_LNC003049)
Source: RNAcentral
AGGCCUACUGGUGUAUGACUUUGAAGAAGUUGAACAUGCCAGCAGCCAGCCAUGCGGCUCGGCAAAACAAGUAGUCCAGCAGCGAAUGGGCCCAACAGGCCCAAUCUGCCGAUACAUACGAGGGGAACCCGAAUGGGCCUUAACUGGCAUACAUACGACAAGACUCCCAUUCUAACAAAAACAAAACAAAAAACGACAAGACUCCCAGAAGGUGGUUGCAGACUAUUGCUGCUAGGUGUUGGAAAAAAAAAGUGCACGCAUAUAUAUGCUCCGUACAUUAAUUUGCUUCGGCCGG